GCCUGGCUGGCUCAGUCGGUUAAGCGUCUGACUUCGGCUCAGGUUGUGAUCUCACAGUUUGUGGGUUCGAGCCCCACAUCAGGCU
This 85-nucleotide transfer RNA is filed under the name Felis catus (domestic cat). It matches the Rfam family "tRNA". From Rfam's summary of the family: Transfer RNA (tRNA) molecules are approximately 80 nucleotides in length. Their secondary structure includes four short double-helical elements and three loops (D, anti-codon, and T loops). Lineage: Eukaryota; Metazoa; Chordata; Mammalia; Carnivora; Felidae. The record is from Rfam by way of RNAcentral. RNAcentral also lists the same sequence under 2 other names.